GAUGAAGAGGCUAUAUUAGACAAGAUUAAGAGUUUUGAGUUGAAAAGAUCUAACCCAUGGGAAGCAUCCACAAGAUAAUAAUGUCAGAUAGAAACUCAUCUCCUUUGGAUUGUCAAGCAAACAACAAAACCAUAAUCAUCCAAGCAAUUAAUAAGAAACCCAAUGGUAUCCAAUAAAGAUAACCAAUCAUCUAAGUUAAAACUUCAAAGCAAGCAAUCUUCAAUGUCCUUUAUGUGUAUCAGAUGAAAAAUC
This 252-nucleotide long non-coding RNA is filed under the name Lathyrus oleraceus (garden pea). RNAcentral describes it as "Pisum sativum (pea) long non-coding RNA (PSAT_LNC002127)". The record is from RNAcentral. Lineage: Eukaryota; Viridiplantae; Streptophyta; Magnoliopsida; Fabales; Fabaceae.